GACGAACGCUGGCGGCGUGCUUAACACAUGCAAGUCGAACGGAAAGGCCCUGCUUUUGUGGGGUGCUCGAGUGGCGAACGGGUGAGUAACACGUGAGUAACCUGCCCUUGACUUUGGGAUAACUUCAGGAAACUGGGGCUAAUACCGGAUAGGAGCUCCUGCUGCAUGGUGGGGGUUGGAAAGUUUCGGCGGUCGGGGAUGGACUCGCGGUUUAUCAGCUUGUUGGGGGGUAGUGGCUUACCAAGGCUUUGAGGGGUAGCCGGCCUGAGAGGGUGACCGGCGACAUUGGGACUGAGAUACGGCCCAGACUCCUACGGGAGGCAGCAGUGGGGAAUAUUGCACAAUGGGCGGAAGCCUGAUGCAGCAACGCCGCGUGCGGGAUGACGGCCUUCGGGUUGUAAACCGCUUUCGCCUGUGACGAAGCGUGAGUGACGGUAAUGGGUAAAGAAGCACCGGCUAACUACGUG
This 467-nucleotide ribosomal RNA is filed under the name uncultured bacterium. RNAcentral describes it as "partial 16S ribosomal RNA". It matches the Rfam family "Bacterial small subunit ribosomal RNA", at positions 28 to 507 of the family's 1533-position model. The record is from RNAcentral.